Molecule: long non-coding RNA, 545 nt
Organism: Cyprinus carpio carpio
Lineage: Eukaryota; Metazoa; Chordata; Actinopteri; Cypriniformes; Cyprinidae
Source: Ensembl
CCUGACUACGACGACCUCAUCCGACCGGGACGAUUCCUCACACCGCACGCGCAUUUUUUAAUUGCCAGGGGAUAUUUUCAACACCGCGGCUGCUGUGGUCAAGGAAAACAAUGCACAUCUAGUUUUCCCCAACAUUACUCAGCUGCUGAAGACAUAUGGCACACCUCCGGUGUCCACACCAACUGUGGAACGUUCCUUCUCAAAACUGAAGCUGGUGAAAACCAAACUUCGCAGCCUUUGGAAAGAGGAGAGAUUGUCUGACCUUCUUCUGUUGGCCAUUGAGAAGGACAUUCCAAUAAAUGACAAUGAUGUCAUUAACAUUUUUAGGGACAUGUCCAACAGGAGACCUCUGUUAUAAGUGCCUACAACCACUCAUCCUCCACUUAUAGUAGAGAAAUUUCCGUAUGGACAGGAGGAGAAGCUCGCAGGCAAUCUUUUACUGUCUAUGAGGCAAUCGGGGGGACGUGGAGGCAUGAAGUCAAGGGAGAAGCCCACAGAGAGUCCAUAAAGGCAACGGGACAAAAUUAUUCAACAACGUCUGCAAG